GCGGUAAUACCAGCUCUCCGAGUGGUAGGGACGAUUAUUGGGCUUAAAGCGUCCGUAGCCGGCUUAGCAAGUCUCCUGUUAAAUUCAGCGACCUAAUCGUUGAGCCGCGGGAGAUACUACUAGGCUAGGAGGCGGGAGAGGCCGACGGUAUUCUCGGGGUAGGGGUGAAAUCCUAUAAUCCCGG
Molecule: ribosomal RNA, 184 nt
Filed under: uncultured archaeon
Lineage: Archaea
Description: partial 16S ribosomal RNA
Rfam family: Archaeal small subunit ribosomal RNA
Source: RNAcentral